Molecule: unclassified non-coding RNA, 331 nt
Filed under: soil metagenome
Description: partial contains 5.8S ribosomal RNA, internal transcribed spacer 2, and large subunit ribosomal RNA
Rfam family: 5.8S ribosomal RNA (bases 1-120)
Source: RNAcentral
GAUGAAGAACGCAGCGAAAUGCGAUAAGUAAUGUGAAUUGCAGAAUUCAGUGAAUCAUCGAAUCUUUGAACGCACAUUGCGCCCCCUAGUAUUCCGGGGGGCAUGCCUGUUCGAGCGUCAUUUCACCACUCAAGCCUCGCUUGGUAUUGGGCAACGCGGUCCGCCGCGUGCCUCAAAUCGACCGGCUGGGUCUUCUGUCCCCUAAGCGUUGUGGAAACUAUUCGCUAAAGGGUGUUCGGGAGGCUACGCCGUAAAACAACCCCAUUUCUAAGGUUGACCUCGGAUCAGGUAGGGAUACCCGCUGAACUUAAGCAUAUCAAUAAGCGGAGGA